GCAAGUCGAACGAAAGCCCUUCGGGGCGAAAGUGGCGAAAGGGCGAGUAAUGCGAUCGAACGUACCCCAAGGUGGAGGAUAGUGUCGAGAAAUCGGCGGUAAUACUCCAUGUGCUCUUCGGAGGAAAGCUUUGGCGCCUUGGGAGCGGCGAUCGUCCUAUCAGGUAGUUGGCGAGGUAACGGCUCACCAAGCCGAAGACGGGUAGCGGGUGUGAGAGCAUGACC
This 224-nucleotide ribosomal RNA is filed under the name uncultured bacterium. Its description in RNAcentral is "partial 16S ribosomal RNA". It matches the Rfam family "Bacterial small subunit ribosomal RNA", at positions 57 to 305 of the family's 1533-position model. The record is from RNAcentral.